GACCUUAUUAGAGAGGGAACAUUCAAUCCGCUCCGCUUGAUCUUUUUUUAAAAAGGCAAAUUACUCACAGGAGUUGGCCCUCCAAUGGCUGUGAGUGACGGCUUCGCAGCUGAAGCCACUCCAGGGCGGUGGCUGUGCUGCCGGCUGCGGAAAACCAACAAACGGAAGCCUGAGACGAGCUUGGAAGGUCGAGGAGGGCUUCCUGUAGGAAGUGAGUCUUUAAGAGGAAAGGAUAGGGGCGCCCGGGGGCUCAGCGGUGGGGCGUCUGCCUUGGGCUCCGGGCGCGACCCUGGGGUCCUGGGAUCGAGUCCUGCGUCGGGCUCCCUGCGUGGAGCCUGCUUCUCCCUCUGCCUGUGUCUCUGCUUCUCUCUCUCUCUCUCUCUUUCUGUCUCUUGUGAAUAAAUGAAUAGAAAUAAAAAAAUUUAUAAAAGACGGGAAGGCUCAUGUGGUUCUGUCUUGUGUGUGUUUUCUUAGCAAACAACGGAGCCAAAGGGUUUGACCGGGUUUGUCCUGUUUGACCCCGUGCCGCAGCCAGGGCCACUUGCCUCCUCCCCAGGACUCGGUCACAGCCCCACGUUGUUGCGUUCCGGGCGGUUCUGACCUCCGCUUAAGCACCAGACGCCAUCAGCGUCCACGGCGCUAGGAAGCCGCGCAGGGGAAGGUGCUUGGGGCAGGCGCUUGACCUAAUCCAGUUCCAGGGACGAGCCCGGUGGACCCGGGGUGCCCAGCAGGGGACGGAGAGGCCUAGGCCGGGGGGCAGCAGCUAUGGUGACACUUGGGGAGUCCCACACGUGGGCCCCGGGCCGGCCCUGCCGGGGUGGGCGGGUCUCCCCACGACUGCAGGAAGGCGCUGCGCUGCCAUUUCGCAGAUGGGACCAGCGGGGCCGGGGGGUUGGCUGACCGUCGGGCGUCACAGAGCGGAGAGGACGGCGCGGCCGGGGCGGCGGGAUGCCAGGCGGGACCAGGGCCUGUGGGGAGCAGAGAUCCUUUGUCCUUUGUGGAACCAAGGACAGGGCUCCGCCUCCGUGGGGUGCAGGCCCCAGACCCGAACCAGACCUCCCAGACUCCCUUGCAGCGGCUCUAGGCGGGAGCGGCUCUCCAAUGACCUGGCCGUGCUCGGGCCCGGUGACCCCCCGGCAGCCCAUUGGGGGACCAGCCGACCCGGCCCCAGAAACGAGGGUCCUGGUCUCCGGGGUGCAGCCCUGCCCCACGGCGUGUUCUUGGGCCCACGGAGGGUCUAGCUCUGCGGCACCAGGUUGG
RNAcentral lists this long non-coding RNA (1260 nucleotides) under Canis lupus familiaris (dog). RNAcentral describes it as "lncRNA (ENSCAFG00040006648.1)". The record is from RNAcentral. Lineage: Eukaryota; Metazoa; Chordata; Mammalia; Carnivora; Canidae.